AGAGUUUGAUCCUGGCUCAGGACGAACGCUGGCGGCGUGCCUAAUACAUGCAAGUUGAACGCUGAAGACUGGUACUUGUACUAGUUGGAUGAGUAGCGAACGGGUGAGUAACGCGUGGGUAACCUACCUCUUAGCGGGGGACAACUAUUGGAAACGAUAGCUAAUACCGCAUAACAAUCACUAACACAUGUUAGUGAUUUGAAAGCACCAAUUGGUGCACUAAGAGAUGGACCCGCGUUGUAUUAGCUAGUUGG
This 254-nucleotide ribosomal RNA is filed under the name uncultured bacterium. RNAcentral describes it as "partial 16S ribosomal RNA". It matches the Rfam family "Bacterial small subunit ribosomal RNA", at positions 8 to 252 of the family's 1533-position model. The record is from RNAcentral.